GAGUGAUCUAGCCAUGGCCAGGGUGAAGCGCGGGUAAGACCGCGUGGAGGCCCGAACCCACCAGGGUUGAAAACCUGGGGGAUGAGCUGUGGUUAGGGGUGAAAGGCCAAUCAAACUCCGUGAUAGCUGGUUCUCCCCGAAAUGCAUUUAGGUGCAGCGUCGUGUGUUUCACCACGGGGGUAGAGCACUGGAUGGUCUAGGGGGCCUACAAGCUUACCGAAAUCAACCAAACUCCGAAUACCGUGGUGUGAGAGCGCGGCAGUGAGACUGCGGGGGAUAAGCUUCGUAGUCGAGAGGGAAACAGCCCAGAACGCCAGCUAAGGUCCCUAAGUGUGUGCUAAGUGGGAAAGGAUGUGGGGUCGCACAGACAGCCAGGAGGUUGGCUUAGAAGCAGCCACCCUUUAAAGAGUGCGUAAUAGCUCACUGGUCAAGUGGUCCUGCGCCGACAAUGUAGCGGGGCUUAAGCACACCACCGAAGCUGUGUCAUUUCAGCCUUGUGCUGGGAUGGGUAGGGGAGCGUCGUGUAGCGGUUGAAG
RNAcentral lists this non-coding RNA (536 nucleotides) under Lentzea albidocapillata. Its description in RNAcentral is "Bacterial large subunit ribosomal RNA". It matches the Rfam family "Bacterial large subunit ribosomal RNA", at positions 723 to 1255 of the family's 2925-position model. Lineage: Bacteria; Bacillati; Actinomycetota; Actinomycetes; Pseudonocardiales; Pseudonocardiaceae. The record is from Rfam by way of RNAcentral.